GGGGGGGGGGGGGGGGGGGGGGGGGGGGGGCGGGGGGGGCGGGGGGGGCCUGCGGGGGGCUCGAGGGGCGAACGGGGGAGUGACACGUGGGUGAUCGGCCCGGCACUUUGGGAUAAGCCUGGGAAACUGGGUCUAAUACCGAAUAGGACCACGCGCUUCAUGGUGUGUGGUGGAAAGCUUUUGCGGUGUGGGAUGGGCCCGCGGCCUAUCAGCUUGUUGGUGGGGUAAUGGCCUACCAAGGCGACGACGGGUAGCCGGCCUGAGAGGGUGACCGGCCACACUGGGACUGAGAUACGGCCCAGACUCCUACGGGAGGCAGCAGUGGGGAAUAUUGCACAAUGGGCGCAAGCCUGAUGCAGCGACGCCGCGUGAGGGAUGACGGCCUUCGGGUUGUAAACCUCUUUCACCAGGGACGAAGCGUAAGUGACGGUACCUGGAGAAGAAGCACCGGCCAACUACGCG
Molecule: ribosomal RNA, 462 nt
Filed under: uncultured bacterium
Lineage: Bacteria
Description: partial 16S ribosomal RNA
Rfam family: Bacterial small subunit ribosomal RNA
Source: RNAcentral